Molecule: ribosomal RNA, 778 nt
Filed under: fungal sp.
Lineage: Eukaryota; Fungi
Description: eukaryotic LSU rRNA
Rfam family: Eukaryotic large subunit ribosomal RNA (bases 514-778)
Source: RNAcentral
GGUGACCUGCGGAAGGUCAUUACUGAGUGAGGGCCCUCUGGGUCCAACCUCCCACCCGUGUUUAUUGUACCUUGUUGCUUCGGUGCGCCCGCCUCACGGCCGCCGGGGGGCUUCUGCCCCCGGGUCCGCGCGCACCGGAGACACUAUUGAACUCUGUCUGAAGAUUGCAGUCUGAGCAUAAACUAAAUAAGUUAAAACUUUCAACAACGGAUCUCUUGGUUCCGGCAUCGAUGAAGAACGCAGCGAAAUGCGAUAACUAAUGUGAAUUGCAGAAUUCAGUGAAUCAUCGAGUCUUUGAACGCACAUUGCGCCCCCUGGUAUUCCGGGGGGCAUGCCUGUCCGAGCGUCAUUGCUGCCCUCAAGCACGGCUUGUGUGUUGGGCUCCGUCCCCCCGGGGACGGGUCCGAAAGGCAGCGGCGGCACCGAGUCCGGUCCUCGAGCGUAUGGGGCUUUGUCACCCGCUCUGUAGGCCCGGCCGGCGCCAGCCGACAACCAAUCAUCCUUUUUUCAGGUUGACCUCGGAUCAGGUAGGGAUACCCGCUGAACUUAAGCAUAUCAAUAAGCGGAGGAAAAGAAACCAACAGGGAUUACCUCAGUAACGGCGAGUGAAGCGGUAAGAGCUCAAAUUUGAAAGCUGGCUCCUUCGGGGUCCGCAUUGUAAUUUGCAGAGGAUGUUUCGGGAGCAGCCCCCAUCUAAGUGUCCUGGAACGGACCGUCAUAGAGGGUGAGAAUCCCGUAUGGGGAUGGGGUGUCUGCGCCCAUGUGAAACUCCUUCGAC